This 26-nucleotide non-coding RNA is filed under the name Cricetulus griseus (Chinese hamster). The record is from RNAcentral. Lineage: Eukaryota; Metazoa; Chordata; Mammalia; Rodentia; Cricetidae.
AGGAACUGGAGCUGGUAGGUUGUGAG